This is a long non-coding RNA of Oxyura jamaicensis (ruddy duck), 1711 nucleotides long. RefSeq lists it as uncharacterized. NCBI's taxonomy places the organism in Eukaryota, Metazoa, Chordata, Aves, Anseriformes, Anatidae. The record is from RefSeq and is a predicted model, not a curated record. The transcript is spliced from 3 exons.
AUCAGCCCCCUGCUACCAAAAUAAUAAUAAUAAUAAUAAUAAUAAUUCACUUUUCUACAACACCUGCCUGGAGGACUCUGAAUAAUACAAAAGGAGCAAGUUUGUGGGUAUGAGCCUCUCAAGAAUGAGCCAUUUUCAGUCUUUUCUGCUGAUGCUUCUUCAUCUUUUACAUUAUCAUUGAUUCAGCAAAGAAAUGAAUGAGUGUACCCAAGUGGUUAUGGCAUUCUUCUGAAAGGAAAGGAGAACUAAUCAUAACUGGUAGAAGAAAGCAAAGGAUGUUUUCCUGGAAAAGUGACCAUCAAGACCUGAAAACAAGAUUAAUAAAUUAAUAACAGUAACUGGAGAUGGGAUGAAGAAAAAAUAUAGUCUCACACUUGUACAUUUUGUAAAUCACCAUGUAACUCAAGACAUCAAUCUUGAAAAUGCAGGCUAUUGUCAUUGCUGAAAAGACUAGAAAACUUGAGUGAGAAUUAAGAGCUAGAAAGCUUACACAUUUGUACAGAUCUAUUACAGUAGUACAACAAUUUUACCUGACUUUUCUGUAUGUAGAUACAAAGAAAAACAAAGAACAGUUUUCUGAUUUAUUGAGAUUUGUUAAACUUAAAACAAUUGAAGAACUGUUGGCAAAAACAUGAGUUUUUAAAAAGAGAACACAUUGCCAUCACAAGGCAUGAGGAGGCGAUAGGUUAACGUCCUUCUAAAUGUACAUUGCCAUAUGCUUGAGUGGAGUUUUGUAGAGCUUUGUCUUCUUAGUUUUAUGUUCAAAUAAUUCAGUUGAUUGAAGUUAUGCCUGCUUACAUUAUGCAUCUGACUGACUCGUAGCUGGUGCCUGUAUCAGCUGACUGCUGAACGAGGAAAUCAUGGCCUAAUUUCAAGUAAAAGAACAUUCUCAAUUCUAAGCUCUUAAAAAUUAUAUUAAGCCUUCUAACACAUUUGAAGUUCAGUGGUCAUUGUAUUACCAUGUGGCUUUUCCACUGCAAAGCAUUGUAGAGAUAUGAUGUAAGUAAGCAGUUUUGUGUCAAGAAUUUCUUAGAGGGAAUUUCUGAAUUAAAAAUUUAGGAAUAAGUUUAAAUUUUUACCACUUCUAACAAGGUUGAAGACACCAUCACUGGCUGAAAUCACUAAUUUGAAUGCCACUGUGUGGUUUCAGCCACCAAGAACUUUCCUUUUGUAACCAGUUCUUCACUGGUAUUUCAGUGAUUGUAGAACAGCACACAGCAGAUUUCAUCAUCCCCUUUUCAUUGAAUUCAGUACUGAAAGGACAGCUGAAUCUACAGUAUGAAAUUAGACGCCAUUUUUCCCAGGCAAAGGGAAAUAUUUUGUAUAGCUGAAAGGUUAGUGUCUCAUAUUUCAUUGUUUAAGAUUUUUUUUAAUUUCUGUGUAAUGCAGAGAAACAAUGCUUUGUAUGUAAAGGUCUGUCUCUCCCUCUCUAUACACUUAUUCCUUUGAAUCGGUGUGACACCGUUUCAUUUCUGCUUCUGGCUUCAAGUUUUAUUGCUUUGAUUUAGCUGAAAGCUGUUCAUAUUGCACUAGAGUGAAACCUAACAAGCAUGUCUUUUCAUAUUGUGUUGCCUCAUUUUUUGUUUGUCUCAUAUUAUUUAAACUAGUGUACCACUGUGUACCUCAGUUCAUCAAAACUAUUAUUAUCUAUAUCUUAUUGCUAAAAGCAUUUUUUUUUCUGAGAAUAAUAAAUAAAUAAAUAAAUAAAUUA